This 253-nucleotide ribosomal RNA is filed under the name uncultured bacterium. RNAcentral describes it as "partial 16S ribosomal RNA". It matches the Rfam family "Bacterial small subunit ribosomal RNA", at positions 524 to 776 of the family's 1533-position model. The record is from RNAcentral.
UACGUAGGUGGCAAGCGUUGUCCGGCAUUAUUGGGCGUAAAGCGCGCGCAGGUGGUUUAAUAAGUCUGAUGUAAAAGCCCACGGCUCAACCGUGGAAGGGCAUUGGAAACUGUUAAGCUUGAGUGCAGGAGAGAAAAGUGGAAUUCCUAGUGUAGCGGUGAAAUGCGUAGAGAUUAGGAGGAACACCAGUGGCGAAGGCGGCUUUUUGGCCUGCAACUGACACGGAGGCGCGAGAGCGUGGGGAGCAAACAGG